Molecule: long non-coding RNA, 1618 nt
Filed under: Oryza sativa Indica Group (long-grained rice)
Lineage: Eukaryota; Viridiplantae; Streptophyta; Magnoliopsida; Poales; Poaceae
Description: lncRNA OsLiXu_Ung0015770
Source: RNAcentral
CGGGCUAUGGCGUCGGCCCAGACACGGCACGGGUAAACGGGCCGUGCCGGCACGGCCCACAGGCCGGCGUGCUGUGCCGGGCCUGGGCCUUCUACAGUGCGGUCGUGCUUGGGCCGGCCCGGCUUGGCACGGCCCAUUUGGCCAGGUAUAACUACGCCGCACAAAUCCCCACCGCCUCCUCCGCCCCCUCGCUCCUCCCCGCCGCGACAACUUCGCCCCCCAAAUCGCCCCCGCCUCCUCGCUCCUCCCUCCUCCCCCGCUGCCUCCUCGCUCCUCCUCGCCGCCCGGCGAAUCCCGCGCCUCCUCGCUUCUCCUCCACACCCACGAAUCCCCGCCGUCUCCUCGCUCCGUGCGCAUCCUCCCUCCUCGCGACGGGGCAACGAGGUCGUCCCCUUCCGCUGCCACCCCCGCUGCCCACGCCGGAGAUUAGGUCAUCCCCAGCCACCGCCGGAGCCGUGGUCUUCCUUGGAGCCGACGUCGUCCCCAGUUGCCGCUGGAGCCGAGUUCUUCCCCAUCCGCGGUGGCCGCCGAAGUCCACCGCUGCCCCCGACGAAGUCGAGGUCUUCCCCAACCGCGGCCUGCCCCCGCCAGCGCUUGAAUACACUCAACCGAUCCAACAUCCUCCACUUGCGCCGGCGAGAGCCUUCCUCCACUCCAGCGCCUCACCGUACACUCCACCGUAGCUCGGUCAUCCUUAGUCGCACACCGAUACACGAAGGCGAGGUCGGAGCCCCUGGUGCCGCCACGAGCGAGAGGCAAUUCGCCGUUGCGGCCGCGCUCGUCGCGCAAAUACCGGAACGCAAGUGGUCCCUUUCCUACCGCCGCAAGCGAGGAGUUGCGUCGCUACAUGCACCCCCAAGGUCUUCCUCCACCGAUCUGUCCUCUCGGCCCGGUAAUGCAGGAAGCUUUACAUCACCAUCGCUUGCAGUGACAAGUAAAUAAUACACAUCAUGUUCGCUUCUUUUGCAAAGCUAUUAUGCCACUGCCAGUUAAUUGCUAAUUGUAUAUCUCUGAAAUUAAUUUAUACAGAUCGAUGGGAAUACCACUAAUUUAAGUGCUCUCGAGUUAAAGAAGAUAGCAAGCUCGGAUGAGGUACGCUUUGCUCAAUUGUAAGCAGUAGCAAGCUAAGGUUCAACAGAACCAUGAGUACAAGCAGCGGAAGGAUGCAUCAAUCUACAACUGCCACAGUCUAAUAGUGGAACCCUUUCCUUGUGGGAAUUCCAUGAAAGAUAUUGGUCUCCAGAUUUUAAGAUUGGUAGAUCCUUUCGUGGCUGCCACUUCAACUGCAGAUCACGUGAACUUCUGUGGACUCACGGCAGGAGCUGUAUACACCUCAUUGGUGAUCAUGUAAAUGCUAUUUUUAGUUGCUGGCCAUGAGGGAUAUAUUUGAAGUAUUGUUGGUGAAGAUCUGAGUUUUUUUUCCUGAUAAGAUAUUGUAGGCUGUGGGGUUUAAUUCAAUACCAUAAAUACAAAUAUCUUGCUUUGAGCUUUUCAAGUGUUUAUCAAGCUAUGACAAAUUAUAUGUUUGGUAUUGUUAGCUGCUUUGCAUUUUUUUAUUGUUUAAAGGAGUAUGUUAAGUUACAUUAUAGUACAUAUAGUUCUUAAACUUUUUAGUAUG